This 279-nucleotide ribosomal RNA is filed under the name Collinsella aerofaciens ATCC 25986. RNAcentral describes it as "partial 16S ribosomal RNA". It matches the Rfam family "Bacterial small subunit ribosomal RNA", at positions 493 to 776 of the family's 1533-position model. Lineage: Bacteria; Bacillati; Actinomycetota; Coriobacteriia; Coriobacteriales; Coriobacteriaceae. The record is from RNAcentral.
UAUGGUAAUUGUGUCCGCCGCGGUAAUACGUAGGGGGCGAGCGUUAUCCGGAUUCAUUGGGCGUAAAGCGCGCGUAGGCGGCCCGGCAGGCCGGGGGUCGAAGCGGGGGGCUCAACCCCCCGAAGCCCCCGGAACCUCCGCGGCUUGGGUCCGGUAGGGGAGGGUGGAACACCCGGUGUAGCGGUGGAAUGCGCAGAUAUCGGGUGGAACACCGGUGGCGAAGGCGGCCCUCUGGGCCGAGACCGACGCUGAGGCGCGAAAGCUGGGGGAGCGAACAGG